Molecule: long non-coding RNA, 234 nt
Filed under: Elaeis guineensis (African oil palm)
Lineage: Eukaryota; Viridiplantae; Streptophyta; Magnoliopsida; Arecales; Arecaceae
Description: long non-coding RNA (EGUI_LNC025123)
Source: RNAcentral
GUCUCCUGAUUUAGUCGGCUUAGUACUGACUGACCCAAUUCAGUUGUCUCAAGCCGAAUAGUAAUAGUUACUGUUUAUGAUCAGUUGGUCGACUAAGUAUCAGACUUAGUCGAUCCACUGAAGUAAGCCGACUCAGUUCAGGGGUGAGCCGACUUAAUUUUCAGAACAAAAAAUUUUACAUAAAAAUGAUGUAAAAUUAUUUUAUAAAAUUAAAAUAGUUCAAUUAAUAAUCUU